AUUGCUUCUUGGCCUUUUGGCUAAGAUCAAGUGUAGUAUCAAGUGUAGAUAUGUUUGUUUAAUAGGUAGCCUUUCAGAAUUCAAAUGAACAUUUAAGCAGAACUCCCUCGUGUUCUCUCUUAUUUAAAGAAAAUGAAGAACUAAUUCAGCUAAGCAGGCUGUGCUGAUUUUAUUUGGAAUUC
Molecule: small nuclear RNA, 182 nt
Organism: Protobothrops mucrosquamatus (brown spotted pit viper)
Lineage: Eukaryota; Metazoa; Chordata; Lepidosauria; Squamata; Viperidae
Product: U2 spliceosomal RNA
Exons: 1
Source: RefSeq, a predicted model, not a curated record